GACGAACGCUGGCGGCGUGCUUAACACAUGCAAGUCGAACGGCACGGCCGUGCUUUUGUGGGCUGCUCAGUUGCCGAACGGGUGAGUCACACGUGUUUAACCUACCCUUGACUUUCGGGUAACUUCAGGAAACGUGGCCUAAUACCGGAUAGGAGCUCCUGCUGCAUUGUGGGGGUUGGAAAUUUUCGGCGGUUGGGGAUGGACGCGUGGCUUAUCGGCUUGUUGGUGGGGUAGUGGCUGACCAAGCCUUUGACGGGUAGCCGGCCUGGGAGGGGGGACGGCCACAUUGGGCCUGAGCUACGGCCCAGCCUCAUACGGGAGGCAGAGGUGGAGAGUAUUGUACAAUGGGCUGGAGCCUGACGUAGCAACGCCGCGUGCGGGAAGACGGGAUGCGGGUUGUGAACCGCUGCCGCUUGUCACGAAGAGUGAGUGACGGUAACGGGUAAAGAAGCACCGGCUAACUACGUG
Molecule: ribosomal RNA, 468 nt
Filed under: uncultured bacterium
Lineage: Bacteria
Description: partial 16S ribosomal RNA
Rfam family: Bacterial small subunit ribosomal RNA
Source: RNAcentral